Molecule: ribosomal RNA, 564 nt
Filed under: uncultured rumen bacterium
Lineage: Bacteria
Description: bacterial SSU rRNA
Rfam family: Bacterial small subunit ribosomal RNA
Source: RNAcentral
ACAUGCAAGUCGAACGAAUUUCCUUUGAACGGAGGCUUCGGCCGAAGGGAGAUUGAAGUGAGUGGCGGACGGGUGAGUAACGCGUGGGUAACCUGCCUUACACCGGGGGAUAACAGAGGGAAACUUCUGCUAAUACCGCAUAAGACCACGGUAUCGCACGGUACUGAGGUAAAAGUUCCGGCGAUGUAAGAUGGACCCGCGUCUGAUUAGCCAGUUGGCGGGGUAACGGCCCACCAAAGCGACGAUCAGUAGCCGACCUGAGAGGGUGAUCGGCCACAUUGGGACUGAGACACGGCCCAAACUCCUACGGGAGGCAGCAGUGGGGAAUAUUGGGCAAUGGGCGCAAGCCUGACCCAGCGACGCCGCGUGAGUGAAGAAGUAUUUCGGUAUGUAAAGCUCUUUAAGCAGGGAAGAUAAUGACGGUACCUGCAGAAUAAGCACCGGCUAAAUACGUGCCAGCAGCCGCGGUAAUACGUAUGGUGCAAGCGUUAUCCGGAUUUACUGGGUGUAAAGGGAGUGUANGUGGCAUGGCAAGCCAAAGGUGAAAACCCGGGGCUCAACCCC